AGGACAUUCGCCGUAUUCGAGGGCACGGGGAUACGCGGCCCCGAGCCAAACCUCAUCUCCGGCAACUUCUACCAGUUCUGGACGAAGGACAUGCAAGCGGUCCUGGAAAGCUGGGCGUCCAGAUACGGAGAUAUUUUCGGGUUCUACAACGGCGACGCGCCAAUGGUAGCCGUCAAAGACUUGGAUUUGCUCCGAAGGGUGUUUGUCAGCGACUUCAAGAACUUCUACGAC
Long non-coding RNA from Ixodes scapularis (black-legged tick), 231 nucleotides. RefSeq lists it as uncharacterized. NCBI's taxonomy places the organism in Eukaryota, Metazoa, Arthropoda, Arachnida, Ixodida, Ixodidae. The transcript has 3 exons. The record is from RefSeq and is a predicted model, not a curated record.